GUCUAUGGCCCUACCACCCUGAACACGCCCGAUCUCAUCUGAUCUCAGAAGCUAAGCAGCAUCAGACCUGGUCAGUAAUUGGAUGGGAGUAACUUUUAUUUAAAAAUUUAUUUCUAUUAAACAUGGGGAAUACAGGAA
Molecule: ribosomal RNA, 138 nt
Filed under: Octodon degus (degu)
Lineage: Eukaryota; Metazoa; Chordata; Mammalia; Rodentia; Octodontidae
Source: RNAcentral